UUAAACUACUUUUUAUUAUGAACACUAUUGCCACGCCCCUGGUGGUGAUAGAGAAGAGGUUGAGGGCUUUUCUGAAAGCUCAUUAAACUAUCUAACUGGUGCAAUGAAUUGGGUCCACCUACGUUAGCCCAUUUAGGCGCUAGAGCGUUUACAAGGUUGAAACAAAAAUGUGAUUUUUGUUAAAACUACUUUUUAUUAUGAACACUAUUGCCACGCCCCUGGUGGUGAUAGAGAAGAGGUUGAGGGCUUUUCUGAAAGCUCAUUAAACUAUCUAACUGGUGCAAUGAAUUGGGUCCACCUACGUUAGCCCAUUUAGGCGCUAGAGCGUUUACAAGGUUGAAACAAAAAUGUGAUUUUUGUUAAAACUACUUUUUAUUAUGAACACCAUUGCCACGCCCCUGGUGGUGAUAGAGAAAAGGUUGAGGGCUUUUCUGAAAGCUCAUUAAACUAUCUAACUGGUGCAUUGUAUUGGGUUCACCUACGUUAGCCAGUUUAGGCGCUAGAGCGUUUACAAGGUUGAAACAAAAAUGUGACUUUUUUGUAAACUACUGUUUAUUAUGAACACUAUUGCCACGCCCCUGGUGGUGAUAGAGAAGAGGUUGAGGGCUUUUCUGAAAGCUCAUUAAACUAUCUAACUGGUGCAUUGUAUUGGGUCCACCUAUGUCGGCCAAUUUAGACGCUAGAGCGUUAAAAAGUUGAAACAAAAAUGUGAUUUUUUUUUAAUUUACUGUUUAUUAUGAACACUAUUGCCACGCCCCUGGUGGUGAUAGAGAAGAGUUUGAGGGCUUUUUUGAAAGCUCAUUAAACUAUCUAACUGGUGCAAUGAAUUGGGUCCACCUACGUUAGCCCAUUUAGGCGCUAGAGCGUUUACAAGGUUGAAACAAAAAUGUGAUUUUUGUUAAAACUACUUUUUAUUAUGAACACCAUUGCCACGCCCCUGGUGGUGAUAGAGAAAAGGUUGAGGGCUUUUCUGAAAGCUCAUUAAACUAUCUAACUGGUGCAUUGUAUUGGGUUCACCUACGUUAGCCAGUUUAGGCGCUAGAGCGUUUACAAGGUUGAAACAAAAAUGUGAUUUUUUUUUAAUUUACUGUUUAUUAUGAACACUAUUGCCACGCCCCUGGUGGUGAUAGAGAAGAGGUUGAGGGCUUUUCUGAAAGCUCAUUAAACUAUCUAACUGGUGCAAUGUAUUGGGUCCACCUACGUUAGCCCAUUUAGGCGCUAGAGCGUUUAAAAAGUUGAAACAAAAAUGUGAUUUUUUUUUAAACUACUGUUUAUUAUGAACACUAUUGCCACGCCCCUGGUGGUGAUAGAGAAGAGGUUGAGGGCUUUUCUGAAAGCUCAUUAAACUAUCUAACUGGUGCAUUGUAUUGGGUCCACCUAUGUCGGCCAAUUUAGCCGCUAGAGCGUUUAAAAAGUUGAAACAAAAAUGUGAUUUUUUUUUAAACUACUGUUUAUUAUGAACACUAUUGCCACGCCCCUGGUGGUGAUAGAGAAGAGGUUGAGGGCUUUUCUGAAAGCUCAUUAAACUAUCUAACUGGUGCAUUGUAUUGGGUCCACCUACGUUAGCCCAUUUAGGCGCUAGAGCGUUUAAAAAGAUGAAACAAAAAUGUGAUUUUUUUUUAAACUACUGUUUAUUAUGAACACUAUUGCCACGCCCCUGGUGGUGAUAGAGAAGAGGUUGAGGGCUUUUCUGAAAGCUCAUUAAACUAUCUAACUGGUGCAAUGUAUUGGGUUCACCUACGUUAGCCAGUUUAGGCGCUAGAGCGUUUACAAGGUUGAAACAAAAAUGUGAUUUUUUUUUAAUUUACUGUUUAUUAUGAACACUAUUGCCACGCCCCUGGUGGUGAUAGAGAAGAGGUUGAGGGCUUUUCUGAAAGCUCAUUAAACUAUCUAACUGGUGCAAUGAAUUGGGUCCACCUAU
Molecule: long non-coding RNA, 1921 nt
Organism: Bactrocera dorsalis (oriental fruit fly)
Lineage: Eukaryota; Metazoa; Arthropoda; Insecta; Diptera; Tephritidae
Exons: 8
Source: RefSeq, a predicted model, not a curated record